UUAGAGUUUGAUCAUGGCUCAGGACGAACGCUGGCGGCGUGCCUAAUACAUGCAAGUCGAACGCGUCCCGGUUGAUGAGGUUGAGUGCUUGCACUUGAUUGAUUCAACUUGGUGACGAGUGGCGAACUGGUGAGUAACACGUGGGUAACCUGCCCUUGAAGUAGGGGAUAACACUUGGAAACAGGUGCUAAUACCGUAUAACAACCAAAACCACCUGGUUUUGGUUUAAAAGACGGCUUCGGCUGUCACUUUAGGAUGGACCCGCGGCGCAUUAGCUUGUUGGUAAGGUAACGGCUUACCAAGGCGAUGAUACGUAGCCGACCUGAGAGGGUAAUCGGCCACAUUGGGACUGAGACACGGCCCAAACUCCUACGGGAGGCAGCAGUAGGGAAUCUUCCACAAUGGACGAAAGUCUGAUGGAGCAACGCCGCGUGAGUGAUGAAGGGUUUCGGCUCGUAAAACUCUGUUGUUGGAGAAGAACAGGUGUCAGAGUAACUGUUGACAUCUUGACGGUAUCCAACCAGAAAGCCACGGCUAACUACGUGCCAGCAGCCGCGGUAAUACGUAGGUGGCAAGCGUUGUCCGGAUUUAUUGGGCGUAAAGCGAGCGCAGGCGGUUUUUUAGGUCUGAUGUGAAAGCCUUCGGCUUAACCGGAGAAGUGCAUCGGAAACCGGGAGACUUGAGUGCAGAAGAGGACAGUGGAACUCCAUGUGUAGCGGUGAAAUGCGUAGAUAUAUGGAAGAACACCAGUGGCGAAGGCGGCUGUCUGGUCUGUAACUGACGCUGAGGCUCGAAAGCAUGGGUAGCGAACAGGAUUAGAUACCCUGGUAGUCCAUGCCGUAAACGAUGAGUGCUAAGUGUUGGAGGGUUUCCGCCCUUCAGUGCUGCAGCUAACGCAUUAAGCACUCCGCCUGGGGAGUACGACCGCAAGGUUGAAACUCAAAGGAAUUGACGGGGGCCCGCACAAGCGGUGGAGCAUGUGGUUUAAUUCGAUGCUACGCGAAGAACCUUACCAGGUCUUGACAUCUUCUGCCAACCUAAGAAAUUAGGCGUUCCCUU
Molecule: ribosomal RNA, 1059 nt
Filed under: uncultured bacterium
Lineage: Bacteria
Description: bacterial SSU rRNA
Rfam family: Bacterial small subunit ribosomal RNA
Source: RNAcentral